This is a long non-coding RNA of Lepus europaeus (European hare), 527 nucleotides long. RefSeq lists it as uncharacterized. The transcript has 4 exons. Lineage: Eukaryota; Metazoa; Chordata; Mammalia; Lagomorpha; Leporidae. The record is from RefSeq and is a predicted model, not a curated record.
CCUGUGAUGGCAGCGUUGUCUCUGAGUGUCCCGCGGAUGCCAGCGCCGGCUGCAUAGUUUCCAAUGCCGGCUGGCCUGCAGCCUCACCUCUCACAAGUUUCCAGGACCUGGCCUGCUCCGCAAUCGACUGCUCACUGUUUCCUACGCCUCUGGGCUUUUAUGUCCGGGUAGCUGCUGGACAAACAGCCUGGUUGUCAAGCCAGUGCUGCAUUGGAGAACUGUGCAAUAGCACCAGCCUGGCACCAGAUGUUCUGACUCCUGCGACUGGCGACACCCAGUGCCCUUCCUGCAUAGGGGUUAACGACACCUCCUGUGACGAGAGUUUCGUGAGGUGUAACCCAGAGGAACGGUGCGUUGAUGGGCUUGCAGCAGUCGUGCAAGGGACCAGAGACAAGGACAACUUCACACUGGCGGUCAAAGGCUGCUCCAACAUCACCGACGACCUCUGCGGGCUCCUGUCCACACCGAACACCAAGAUAGGGAACAUCGUCUUUCAGCAGCUCAACUGCAGCAACGCCACCCAGAUC